UUCCGGUUGAUCCUGCCGGACCUGACUGCUAUCGGAUUGAUACUAAGCCAUGCGAGUCAUUGUAGCAAUACAAGGCAGACGGCUCAGUAACGCGUAGUCAAUCUAACCUAUGGACGGGAAUAACCUCGGGAAACUGAGAAUAAUGCCCGAUAGAACACUAUACCUGGAAUGGUUUGUGUUCCAAAUGAUUUAUCGCCGUAGGAUGGGACUGCGGCCUAUCAGUUUGUUGGUGAGGUAAUGGCCCACCAAGACUAUUACAGGUACGGGCUCUGAGAGGAGUAGCCCGGAGAUGGGUACUGAGACACGGACCCAGGCCCUAUGGGGCGCAGCAGGCGAGAAAACUUUGCAAUGUGCGAAAGCACGACAAGGUUAAUCCGAGUGGUUUGUGCUAAACAGACCUUUUGUUAGUCCUAGAAACACUAACGAAUAAGGGGUGGGCAAGUUCUGGUGUCAGCCGCCGCGGUAAAACCAGCACCUCAAGUGGUCAGGAUGAUUAUUGGGCCUAAAGCAUCCGUAGCCGGCUCUGUAAGUUUUCGGUUAAAUCUGUAUGCUCAACAUACAGGCUGCCGGGAAUACUGCAGAGCUAGGGAGUGGGAGAGGUAGACGGUACUCGGUAGGAAGGGGUAAAAUCCUUUGAUCUAUUGAUGACCACCUGUGGCGAAGGCGGUCUACCAGAACACGUCCGACGGUGAGGGAUGAAAGCUGGGGGAGCAAACCGGAUUAGAUACCCGGGUAGUCCCAGCUGUAAACUAUGCAAACUCAGUGAUGCAUUGGCUUGUGGCCAAUGCAGUGCUGCAGGGAAGCCGUUAAGUUUGCCGCCUGGGA
Molecule: ribosomal RNA, 825 nt
Filed under: uncultured archaeon
Lineage: Archaea
Description: bacterial SSU rRNA
Rfam family: Archaeal small subunit ribosomal RNA
Source: RNAcentral